UCUUGCUCUGUCACCCAGGCUGGAGUGCAGUGGCAUGAUCUCAGCUUACUGCAACCUCUGCCUCCCAGGUUCAAGUGAUUCUCCUGCCUCAGCCUCCCAAGUAGCUGGGAUUACAGAUGUUGUGGAUUGGCUGUAACUCUGCUCUGGGAUCCAGGCUGAAGGAGCAGGCUCUAUCUGGAACAUUACUAGUCUCCAGGCAGAAGAAAAAGAGACAAUGGAAUGGAUGAUUGAAUGGAUGAAUGAACUCCACAGGAAGAUGAGGAAAGCCUUUAUGGAUGGAGUGAGCUUGCAGCAGAGUCUCAAAGGAAGAAAUAAAACAAACUUCUACAUGGCAAAAUAAACCUCUACAUGGCAAAAUAAACCUCUACAUGGCAAAAUAAACCUCUACAUGGAUAGAGAUCUGUCUCAGACACAUUUUGGUUUCCAUGACUUCUGAAUGGCAGCAUGAGGAGCUCCAUGAACCCUCUCCCCAGUGAAAUGACCAUAAUCUCUGGAAAUUGCUUAAGAUCAAAGCCACAACUAUUUAAAGCCUUUGGAAAUUGUUUUAUGGGGAUGCGGCA
RNAcentral lists this long non-coding RNA (560 nucleotides) under Homo sapiens (human). RNAcentral's name for it is "HSALNT0382893". The record is from RNAcentral. Lineage: Eukaryota; Metazoa; Chordata; Mammalia; Primates; Hominidae.